GGGUCAGUAGGUUGGUCGUGCCACCGGUACGUACUGGUCUCACUGAUUCCUCCUUCCUGAAGAACCGUAAUGCCAUUAAUUUGGUGUUGCGGGGAAACAGGACUGUUACUUUGAAAAAAUUAGAGUGUUUAAAGCAAGCUAACGCUUGAAUACAUAGCAUGGGAUAAUGAAAUAGGACGAUCGAUCCUAUUUUGUUGGUUUCUAGGAUUGACGUA
Molecule: ribosomal RNA, 215 nt
Filed under: Glomeromycotina sp.
Lineage: Eukaryota; Fungi; Glomeromycota
Description: partial small subunit ribosomal RNA
Rfam family: Eukaryotic small subunit ribosomal RNA (bases 40-215)
Source: RNAcentral